CCGGAGACCGUCAAUAGCAGCGUCUCGACAUCCAGUCUGGAAUCCACCCAGGCGUUUGGACGGCUUCGCUUCGUCCGGGGCGGGCAUGCUCCUGCUUAAGCACAUCAGGGAUCGCGCUCCGAAGCCAAACGUGCAGUCGGCGGUGUGCGCCUAGGAUAAAUAAAGGUCAUGCCACAAGCAACAUUGAUUAAAGAGGCAAGCCAGGUGACAUCCAAGUCUGGAACCCUCCCAUUGGCUAUGCUGGCUGGGGUUGAUGGAAGUUGUAAUUCAACAAGUUGCAGGGAAAGCUUGCUUAGAGAACUUCUAGAAUUUGCUGCAUCUCAAGACGGCUUACAGAAAUCAAAACAAGCAAUCCAUAAUCAAAACAACGAUUAACAAUAAUUAAGAAUAUACAUACAAUCAACAGUAACCUAUCACCAAUGAAAACAAAGUCGAGAACAAGAACAAGAACAAAAUGCGACUGGAUGGUUAAAAACCAGAUUAAAAUUCCUCGUUCUUAAAAUGGUGGGCA
Molecule: long non-coding RNA, 511 nt
Organism: Varanus komodoensis (Komodo dragon)
Lineage: Eukaryota; Metazoa; Chordata; Lepidosauria; Squamata; Varanidae
Exons: 3
Source: RefSeq, a predicted model, not a curated record